ACGAAGGACCCAAGCGUUAUCCGGAUUUAUUGGGUUUAAAGGGUGCGUAGGCGGGUUAUUAAGUCAGUGGUGAAAGCCUUCAGCUUAACUGGAGAAUUGCCAUUGAUACUGAUGAUCUUGAGUAUGAUUGAGGUGGGCGGAAUGUGUCAUGUAGCGGUGAAAUGCUUAGAUAUGACACAGAACACCGACUGCGAAGGCAGCUCACUAAGCCAUAACUGACGCUGAUGCACGAAAGCGUGGGGAGCAAACAGGA
RNAcentral lists this ribosomal RNA (253 nucleotides) under uncultured prokaryote. RNAcentral describes it as "partial 16S ribosomal RNA". It matches the Rfam family "Bacterial small subunit ribosomal RNA", at positions 525 to 777 of the family's 1533-position model. The record is from RNAcentral.